AGAAAAGAAAUCGCUCUUCACAUGAAGCCAGGAGCAGCACCAGACAAAGUUUUAUUCACCUACGAUGAUGAUGAUCAAGAGUUGGAUAUGACCUUGCUCUACACAGAUUACAAAGCAUGUGCCAUCGUCGAUCUUCCUUUUAAGGGAAGGAAAGAGUGCCUGAUGUGGGUUCCAUACGCAAUUAAAGACGCCGUUCCAGUGCACUGUGUCGAGCAUUACGAUGAAAGCUGCGAAGUAAAAAUUCCUUCAUAUGACCGAGAUACCUGCAGUCAAGUUCCAGACGAGCUUUAAAGCACGAGAUGUGUAAAAAGAAGGUAAAAAUUUGGAUGUCUUGCAGUUGCAGCGUCCUUUGUGCAAUAAAGUCACCUUCCGUAAAUGCCAUAA
Long non-coding RNA from Rhipicephalus microplus (southern cattle tick), 384 nucleotides. NCBI's taxonomy places the organism in Eukaryota, Metazoa, Arthropoda, Arachnida, Ixodida, Ixodidae. The record is from RefSeq and is a predicted model, not a curated record.